GGGCCCGCACAAGCGGUGGAGUAUGUGGUUUAAUUCGAUGCAACGCGAAGAACCUUACCAGGGUUUGACAUCCUGCGAAUCUCUUGGAAACAGGAGAGUGCCUUCGGGAACGCAGUGACAGGUGGUGCAUGGCUGUCGUCAGCUCGUGUCGUGAGAUGUUGGGUUAAGUCCCGCAACGAGCGCAACCCACGUCUUUAGUUGCCAGCAUUUAGUUGGGCACUCUAGAGAGACUGCCGGUGAUAAACGGGAGGAAGGUGUGGAUGACGUCAAGUCCUCAUGGCCCUUACGGGUUGGGCUACACACGUGCUACAAUGGUAGUGACAAUGGGUUAAUCCCAAAAAGCUAUCUCAGUUCGGAUUGUCGUCUGCAACUCGACGGCAUGAAGUCGGAAUCGCUAGUAAUCGCGUAACAGCAUGACGCGG
Molecule: ribosomal RNA, 422 nt
Filed under: uncultured bacterium
Lineage: Bacteria
Description: bacterial SSU rRNA
Rfam family: Bacterial small subunit ribosomal RNA
Source: RNAcentral